This 496-nucleotide long non-coding RNA is filed under the name Anser brachyrhynchus (Pink-footed goose). RNAcentral's name for it is "lncRNA (ENSABRG00000008575.1)". Lineage: Eukaryota; Metazoa; Chordata; Aves; Anseriformes; Anatidae. The record is from RNAcentral.
GUAUUCUUGGCAAACUCCAAGCCUGCAUGUGAAAUGUGAGAUCUCAGCAGAAGCACAUUGUAGUUUAGCAACUUUGCAAGAGUGCUGUUUUUAUCACUGCCCUAGAAGAUACAGUAAUAAGCUGAAGCUCUUCUGUUCUGGAUGCUGCAACACAUACUUUGAUGCUGAUACUGUAAGAUGCUGUAAACAUAUCAAUCAAAUUGUCAGAAUGCAGAACAUCACAAAAUGCAAACUUUGAUUCACUUGGGAACAGGAGCAAUGUAACAAGAAGGAUGACUCUAUUAAGUGAAAUCUCUUGCAGUGAGAUUAAAAGGCAGAAGGCUUUCUAAAAUUAUAUUGAACGAGAUUGUCUUAGAGGAAAACGGCAUUGGAAUGAUAGAGUAUUGCCUGGAAAUACAGUAUAUGCUGUAAGUAUGUUAGAUUGUUGUCCAGUGCUGAGAAGUGGAAUUAGUCUAUUCCAGGGAAGGAUAAUAAAAGUAUUUUUAAGACAGAGUCA